AUCCAACUGACGAGUUCCGAAUAGGACGAAAGAUGAGUCCUGGAU
Molecule: non-coding RNA, 45 nt
Organism: Schistosoma haematobium
Lineage: Eukaryota; Metazoa; Platyhelminthes; Trematoda; Strigeidida; Schistosomatidae
Source: Rfam